Molecule: ribosomal RNA, 507 nt
Filed under: uncultured bacterium
Lineage: Bacteria
Description: partial 16S ribosomal RNA
Source: RNAcentral
GGAGUUAGCCGGUGCUUCUUCUGUGAGUGAUGUCCUUCCUGCCGGCUAUUAACCCGCAGGCCUUCUUCCUCACUGAAAGUGCUUUACAACCCGAAGGCCUUCUUCACACACGCGGCAUGGCUGGAUCAGGGUUGCCCCCAUUGUCCAAUAUUCCCCACUGCUGCCUCCCGUAGGAGUCUGGGCCGUGUCUCAGUCCCAGUGUUGCUGAUCAUCCUCUCAGACCAGCUACGGAUCGUCGCCUUGGUGAGCCGUUACCUCACCAACCAGCUAAUCCGACAUAGGCUCAUCCGAUAGCGCGAGGCCCGAAGGUCCCCCGCUUUCCCCCGUAGGGCGUAUGCGGUAUUAGCCUGGGUUUCCCCAGGUUAUCCCCCACUACCGGGCAGAUUCCUAUGCAUUACUCACCCGUCCGCCGCUCGCCACCAGGGAGCAAGCUCCCCGUGCUGCCGCUCGACUUGCAUGUGUUAGGCCUGCCGCCAGCGUUCAAUCUGAGCCAUGAUCAAACUCUGA